This 758-nucleotide ribosomal RNA is filed under the name uncultured bacterium. RNAcentral's name for it is "bacterial SSU rRNA". It matches the Rfam family "Bacterial small subunit ribosomal RNA", at positions 550 to 1309 of the family's 1533-position model. The record is from RNAcentral.
UUUAUUGGGCGUAAAGCGAGCGCAGGCGGUUAGAUAAGUNUGAAGUUAAAGGCUGUGGCUUAACCAUAGUAUGCUUUGGAAACUGUUUAACUUGAGUGCAGAAGGGGAGAGUGGAAUUCCAUGUGUAGCGGUGAAAUGCGUAGAUAUAUGGAGGAACACCGGUGGCGAAAGCGGCUCUCUGGUCUGUAACUGACGCUGAGGCUCGAAAGCGUGGGGAGCAANCAGGAUUAGAUACCCUGGUAGUCCACGCCGUAAACGAUGAGUGCUAGGUGUUAGGCCCUUUCCGGGGCUUAGUGCCGCAGCUAACGCAUUAAGCACUCCGCCUGGGGAGUACGACCGCAAGGUUGAAACUCAAAGGAAUUGACGGGGGCCCGCACAAGCGGUGGAGCAUGUGGUUUAAUUCGAAGCAACGCGAAGAACCUUACCAGGUCUUGACAUCCCUCUGAUCGCUCUAGAGAUAGAGUUUUCCUUCGGGACAGAGGUGACAGGUGGUGCAUGGUUGUCGUCAGCUCGUGUCGUGAGAUGUUGGGUUAAGNCNCGCAACGAGCGCAACCCCUAUUGUUAGUUGCCAUCAUUCAGUUGGGCACUCUAGCGAGACUGCCGGUAAUAAACCGGAGGAAGGUGGGGAUGACGUCAAAUCAUCAUGCCCCUUAUGACCUGGGCUACACACGUGCUACAAUGGCUGGUACAACGAGUCGCAAGCCGGUGACGGCAAGCUAAUCUCUGAAAGCCAGUCUCAGUUCGGAUUGUAGGCUGCA